This 256-nucleotide ribosomal RNA is filed under the name uncultured bacterium. Its description in RNAcentral is "partial 16S ribosomal RNA". It matches the Rfam family "Bacterial small subunit ribosomal RNA", at positions 524 to 776 of the family's 1533-position model. The record is from RNAcentral.
UACGUAGGGGGCAAGCGUUGUCCGGAAUUAUUGGGCGUAAAGCGCGUGUAGGCGGUCCGGUUAGUCGGCUGUGAAAGUCAAGGGCUCAACCCUUGAAUGCCGGUCGAUACUGCUCGGACUAGAGUCCGGAAGAGGCAGUGGAAUUCCCGUGGUGAUGCGGUGAAAUGCGCAGAUAUCAGGAAGAACACCCGUGGCGAAAGCGGCUCUCUGGGAACGGUACUGACGCUGAGACGCGAAAGCGUGGGGAGCGAACAGG